CCGGAAGUGUGAGAACUAAGUGCUAUGCGGGACAAAGUGCUACACCAACGGGUUUGGUGGGAGCCACCUCUUAAACCCGUAGGAGCCACCUCUAGAAUCUCACAUCGUCUGGUAAUGGUCCUGCUCUAUCUGUCUGUGAUCUGGUUUGGAUCCGACGAGGACGUCAGGAUCUAAACAGAGGGAGUUUGUAACGCCCCAAUAAUCCCACAUUGGAUGGGAUACUGAUUUCGAUCAGUUUAUAUGAGGUCUACACGCUAGUAAUAAUAACCCGGCUUAAGCAUUUUGGGCAGGUGGUUUGGGCCCAACGAGUUAUUGUUGUUAGCGGGUCGGGUCAUUACAAAUGGUAUCAGAGACGAAUACCAGCCGGAAGUGUGAGAGCUAAGUGCUAUGCGGGAUAAAGUGCUACACCAACGGGUUUGGUGGGAGCCACCUCUAGAAUCUCACAUCGCCUGGUAAUUUGGUCCUGGUCUAUCUGUCUGGGAUUUGGUUUGGACCCGACGAGGACGUCAGGGUCUAAACAGGGGGAGUUUGUAACGCUCCAAUAAUCCCACAUUGGAUGGGAUACUGAUUUCGAUCAGUUUAUAUGAGGCCUACACGCUAGUAAUAAUAACCCGGCUUAAGCAUUUUGGGCAGGUGGUUUUGGGCCCAACGAGUUAUUGUUGCUAGCGGUUCGGGUCAUUACAAAUGGUAUCAGAGAUGAAUACCAGCCGGAAGUAUGAGAGUUAAGUGCUAUGCGGGAUAAAGUGCUACACCAAUAGGUUUGGUGGGAGCCACCUCUAGAAUCUCACAUCGCCUGGUAAUCUGGUCCUGAUCUGUCUGUCUGUGAUUUGGUUUGGACCCGACGAGGACGUCAGGGUCUAAACAGGGGGAGUUUGUAACGCCCCAAUAAUCCCACAUUGGAUGGGAUACUGAUUUCGAUCAGUUUAUAUGAGACCUACACGCUAGUAAUAAUAACCCGGUUUAAGCAUUUUGGGC
This 975-nucleotide long non-coding RNA is filed under the name Ananas comosus (pineapple). Its description in RNAcentral is "long non-coding RNA (ACOM_LNC032320)". The record is from RNAcentral. Lineage: Eukaryota; Viridiplantae; Streptophyta; Magnoliopsida; Poales; Bromeliaceae.